RNAcentral lists this ribosomal RNA (336 nucleotides) under uncultured bacterium. RNAcentral describes it as "bacterial SSU rRNA". It matches the Rfam family "Bacterial small subunit ribosomal RNA", at positions 72 to 422 of the family's 1533-position model. The record is from RNAcentral.
AAGUGGAGCAAUCCAUGAGUAAAGUGGCGUACGGGUGAGUAACACGUGGAUCAUCAACCUUCUAGUGGGGAAUACCCCCGGGAAACUGGGGACAAUACCGCAUGAGCUCGAAAGAGGAAAGCAGCAAUGCGCUGGAAGAGGAGUCCGCGGCCGAUUAGCUAGUUGGCGGGGUAACGGCCCACCAAGGCGAAGAUCGGUAGCCGGCCUGAGAGGGCACACGGCCACACUGACACUGAAACACGGGCCAGACUCCUACGGGAGGCAGCAGUGGGGAAUCUUGCACAAUGGAGGAAACUCUGAUGCAGCGACGCCGCGUGAGCGAUGAAGCCCCUCGGG